CAGUCGCCGCGGUAAUACGAAGGGUGCAAGCGUUAAUCGGAAUUACUGGGCGUAAAGCGCGCGUAGGUGGUUUGGUAAGAUGGAUGUGAAAUCCCCGGGCUCAACCUGGGAACUGCAUCCAUAACUGCCUGACUAGAGUACGGUAGAGGGUGGCGGAAUUUCCUGUGUAGCGGUGAAAUGCGUAGAUAUAGGAAGGAACACCAGUGGCGAAGGCGACCACCUGGACUGAUACUGACACUGAGGUGCGAAAGCGUGGGGAGCAAACAGGAUUAGAUACCCCAGUAGUCCCUGUCUCUUAUAC
Molecule: ribosomal RNA, 301 nt
Filed under: uncultured bacterium
Lineage: Bacteria
Description: partial 16S ribosomal RNA
Rfam family: Bacterial small subunit ribosomal RNA
Source: RNAcentral